Molecule: transfer RNA, 66 nt
Filed under: Exechonella vieirai
Lineage: Eukaryota; Metazoa; Bryozoa; Gymnolaemata; Cheilostomatida; Exechonellidae
Description: tRNA-Gln
Source: RNAcentral
UUUACAGAAUUGAGAACUUUGAAUUCUUAAACAGGGAACCCCGCCAAACUAACAUCCCCUGUAAAA